GAUGAACGCUGGCUGCAGGCUUAACACAUGCAAGUCGAGCGGAAACGGCAUUCAGUGCUUUCACUGAAUGGACGUCGACCGGCGCACGGGUGAGUAACGCUUAUCCAUCCUUCCCGUUACUGCGGGAUAACCUGCCGAAUGGCAGACUAAUACCGCAUCUUCUUCGAUGACGUCAUCCGAUUCGCAGCGAAGAUCAGUCUGUAAUGGAGGGGGAUGCGUCUGAUUAGCUAGUUGGCGGGGCGACGGCCCACCAAGGCGACGAUCAGUAGGGGUUCUGAGAGGAAGCUCCCCGAGAUUGGAACGGCGACACGGUCCAAACGACUACGGGAGGCAGCAGUGAGGAAUAUUGGUCAAUGGGCGGGAGCCUGAACCAACCAAGGAGCGUGCAGGAUGACGGCCCUACGGGUUGUAAUCUGCUUUUAUGCGGGGAUAAAGUGAGGGACGCGUCCCUUUUUGAAGGUACCGCAUGAAUAAGGACCGGCUAACUACGUG
Molecule: ribosomal RNA, 492 nt
Filed under: uncultured bacterium
Lineage: Bacteria
Description: partial 16S ribosomal RNA
Rfam family: Bacterial small subunit ribosomal RNA
Source: RNAcentral